AUACGGAGGUAGCAAGCGUUAUUCGGAAUCACUGGGCGUAAAGGACGCGUAGGCGGGUUGGCAAGUCAGAUGUGAAAUCCUACAGCUUAACUGUAGAACUGCAUUUGAAACUGCUAACCUAGAGUAUGGGAGGGGGAGAUGGAAUUAGUGGUGUAGGGGUAAAAUCCGUAGAUAUCACUAGGAAUACCGAAAGCGAAGGCGAUCUCCUGGAACAUAACUGACGCUAAGGCGUGAAAGCGUGGGGAGCAAACAGGAUUAGAAACCCUAGUAGUCC
RNAcentral lists this ribosomal RNA (274 nucleotides) under uncultured bacterium. RNAcentral's name for it is "partial 16S ribosomal RNA". It matches the Rfam family "Bacterial small subunit ribosomal RNA", at positions 523 to 796 of the family's 1533-position model. The record is from RNAcentral.